UACGUAGGGGGCAAGCGUUGUCCGGAUUUAUUGGGCGUAAAGAGCGUGUAGGCGGCUUGGUAGGUCCGCUGUGAAAACUCGAGGCUCAACCUCGAGAUGUCGGCGGAAACCACUUGGCUAGAGUCCGGAAGAGGAGAGUGGAAUUCCCGGUGUAGCGGUGAAAUGCGCAGAUAUCGGGAAGAACACCUGUGGCGAAAGCGGCGCACUGGACCAUAACUGACGCUGAGGCGCGAAAGCUAGGGGAGCAAACAGG
Molecule: ribosomal RNA, 253 nt
Filed under: uncultured bacterium
Lineage: Bacteria
Description: partial 16S ribosomal RNA
Rfam family: Bacterial small subunit ribosomal RNA
Source: RNAcentral